UGCUCGAGUGGCGAACGGGUGAGUAACACGUGAGUAACCUGCCCUUGACUUUGGGAUAACUUCAGGAAACUGGGGCUAAUACCGGAUAGGAGCUCCUGCUGCAUGGUGGGGGUUGGAAAGUUUCGGCGGUUGGGGAUGGACUCGCGGCUUAUCAGCUUGUUGGUGGGGUAGUGGCUUACCAAGGCUUUGACGGGUAGCCGGCCUGAGAGGGUGACCGGCCACAUCGGGACUGAGAUACGGCCCAG
RNAcentral lists this ribosomal RNA (245 nucleotides) under uncultured Actinomycetales bacterium. RNAcentral describes it as "partial 16S ribosomal RNA". It matches the Rfam family "Bacterial small subunit ribosomal RNA", at positions 88 to 334 of the family's 1533-position model. The record is from RNAcentral. Lineage: Bacteria; Bacillati; Actinomycetota; Actinomycetes; Actinomycetales.